AAUGAACGUUGGCGGCGUGGAUUAGGCAUGCAAGUCGCGCGACAAGGAACCUUCGGGUUCUGGAGGAGCGGCAAACGGGGUAGUAAGGCAUCGGAACGUACCCUCUUGUUGGGAAUAGCCGCGGGAAACUGCGAGUAAUGCCCAAUAAUCCCUACGGGGCAAAGGUCCGCCGCAGGAGGAGCGGCCGAUGUGAUACCAGCUAGUUGGUGAGGUAAUGGCUCACCAAGGCUUAGACGUCUAGGGGGUGUGAGAGCAUGGCCCCCACCACUGGGACGUGAGAUACUGCCCACGACACCUACGGGUGGGCUGCAGUCGAGAAUCUUCGGCGAAUGGGCGGCAAGCCU
RNAcentral lists this ribosomal RNA (344 nucleotides) under uncultured bacterium. RNAcentral describes it as "bacterial SSU rRNA". It matches the Rfam family "Bacterial small subunit ribosomal RNA", at positions 29 to 384 of the family's 1533-position model. The record is from RNAcentral.